AACGAACGCUGGCGGCAGGCUUAACACAUGCAAGUCGAGCGCAUCCUUCGGGGUGAGCGGCAGACGGGUGAGUAACACGUGGGAAUCUACCCAUCUCUACGGAAUAACUCAGGGAAACUUGUGCUAAUACCGUAUACGUCCUUAGGGGAGAAAGAUUUUAUCGGAGAUGGGAUGAGCCCGCGUUGGAUUAGCUAGUUGGUGGGGUAAAGGCCUACCAAGGCGACGAUCCAUAGCUGGUCUGAGAGGAUGAUCAGCCACAUUGGGACUGAGACACGGCCCAAACUCCUACGGGAGGCUG
RNAcentral lists this ribosomal RNA (298 nucleotides) under uncultured Pseudomonadota bacterium. Its description in RNAcentral is "uncultured proteobacterium partial 16S ribosomal RNA". It matches the Rfam family "Bacterial small subunit ribosomal RNA", at positions 29 to 351 of the family's 1533-position model. Lineage: Bacteria; Pseudomonadati; Pseudomonadota. The record is from RNAcentral.